AGCGCAACCNUCUAUCCCUAGUUGCUAGCAGUUCGGCUGAGAACUCUAGGGAGACUGCCGGUGACAAACCGGAGGAAGGUGGGGAUGACGUCAGGUCAUCAGUAANNUNACGGCCAGGGCUACACACGUGCUACAAUGGUGCGUACAGAGGGCUGCAAACCCGCGAGGGGGAGCUAAUCUCACAAAACGCAUCGUAGUCCGGAUCGGAGUCUGCAACUCGACUCCGUGAAGUCGGAAUCGCUAGUAAUCGCGAAUCAGAAUGUCGCGGUGAAUACGUUCCCGGGCCUUGUACACACCGCCCGUCACACCAUGGGAGUGGAUUGCACCAGAAGUGGUUAGUCUAACCUUCGGGAGGACG
This 358-nucleotide ribosomal RNA is filed under the name uncultured bacterium. RNAcentral describes it as "bacterial SSU rRNA". It matches the Rfam family "Bacterial small subunit ribosomal RNA", at positions 1095 to 1452 of the family's 1533-position model. The record is from RNAcentral.